Molecule: ribosomal RNA, 680 nt
Filed under: Endopterygota sp. NZAC 03010968
Lineage: Eukaryota; Metazoa; Arthropoda; Insecta
Description: eukaryotic LSU rRNA
Rfam family: Eukaryotic large subunit ribosomal RNA (bases 262-680)
Source: RNAcentral
ACCUCGGAGCUCCGSCCCCGUGGCACGCGGKCGCUGUGGCAUGUCCGGCGUCKYCRGCGUGCACUUCUCUCCUAGYAKGACRUCGCGACCCGUUGGGUGUCGGCCUACGGCCCGGGUGGUCGUCUGUCACGUCGCUUCGGCGCACGAGGCAGACCCUCGGUAGCCUGGCCGGCUGCUCGGCGGUACUCGCACGGUAUCGGGCCGCAAGAACUGCGUCAGGCCCGCCGCAAGCGCGGCCAGUGAUACCCGGAAUGCGGACCUAGCGCCGUUUUCGGGCCUGGCCAGCUGUUGGUUGGCGGUGUCCUCGGACUGGCUCUGUUGAAUUGAUACCGGUCGGCGACGCUACUGCUUUGGGUACUUUCAGGACCCGUCUUGAAACACGGACCAAGGAGUCUAACAUGUGCGCGAGUCAUUGGGACUGCAAACCUAAAGGCGAAAUGAAAGUGAAGGUCGGCCUCGCGCCGACCGAGGGAGGAUGGGCCGCGUCACGAUGCGGCCCCGCACUCCCGGGGCGUCUCGUACUCAUUGCGAGUAGAGGCGCACCCAGAGCGUACACGUUGGGACCCGAAAGAUGGUGAACUAUGCCUGGUCAGGACGAAGUCAGGGGAAACCCUGAUGGAGGUCCGUAGCGAUUCUGACGUGCAAAUCGAUCGUCGGAACUGGGUAUAGGGGCGAAAGAC